RNAcentral lists this ribosomal RNA (486 nucleotides) under uncultured bacterium. RNAcentral's name for it is "SSU rRNA". It matches the Rfam family "Bacterial small subunit ribosomal RNA", at positions 26 to 523 of the family's 1533-position model. The record is from RNAcentral.
AGGACGAACGCUGGCGGCGUGCCUAACACAUGCAAGUCGAACGAGGUUAAUCCGGUAGCAAUACUGGUGACUGCCUAGUGGCGAACGGGUGAGUAGCACGUGAGCAACCUGCCCCGAAGACCGGGACAACACCGGGAAACCGGUGCUAAUACCGGAUACCCCCACCUAAUCGCAUGAUCUGGUGAGGAAAUGGAUUCCGCUUCGGGAGGGGCUCGCGGCCUAUCAGCUAGUUGGUGAGGUAACGGCUCACCAAGGCUUCGACGGGUAGCUGGUCUGAGAGGACGAUCAGCCACACUGGGACUGAGACACGGCCCAGACUCCUACGGGAGGCAGCAGUGGGGAAUCUUGCACAAUGGGCGAAAGCCUGAUGCAGCAACGCCGCGUGAGGGACGAAGGCUUUCUGAGUUGUAAACCUCUUUCAGCAGGGACGAUUGUGACGGUACCUGCAGAAGAAGCCCGGCAACUACGUGCCAGCAGCCGCGGUAA